CGCGGGGUGGAGCAGUCUGGUAGCUCGUUGGGCUCAUAACCCAAAGGUCGCAGGUUCAAAUCCUGUCCCCGCAACCA
Molecule: transfer RNA, 77 nt
Filed under: Virgibacillus proomii
Lineage: Bacteria; Bacillati; Bacillota; Bacilli; Caryophanales; Bacillaceae
Also listed under: 29 other names
Description: tRNA-Met
Rfam family: tRNA
About the family: Transfer RNA (tRNA) molecules are approximately 80 nucleotides in length.
Source: RNAcentral